UGCUUGCUUCGGCAGCAAUAUACUAAAAUUGGAACGAUACAGAGAAGGUUAGCACAGCCACUGUGCAAGGAUGACACGCAAAUUCGUGAAGCAUUCCAUAUUUUU
This 105-nucleotide small nuclear RNA is filed under the name Octodon degus (degu). The record is from RNAcentral. Lineage: Eukaryota; Metazoa; Chordata; Mammalia; Rodentia; Octodontidae.